RNAcentral lists this ribosomal RNA (255 nucleotides) under uncultured bacterium. RNAcentral's name for it is "partial 16S ribosomal RNA". It matches the Rfam family "Bacterial small subunit ribosomal RNA", at positions 524 to 776 of the family's 1533-position model. The record is from RNAcentral.
UACGAAGGGGGGCUAGCGUUGCUCGGAAUUACUGGGCGUAAAAGCGCACGUAGGCGGUCUUUUAAGUCGGGGGUGAAAUCCUGGAGCUCAACUCCAGAACUGCCUUCGAUACUGGCGAUCUUGAGUCCGGAAGAGGUGAGUGGAACUCCUAGUGUAGAGGUGGAAUUCGUAGAUAUUAGGAAGAACACCAGUGGCGAAGGCGGCUCACUGGUCCGGUACUGACGCUGAGGUGCGAAAGCGUGGGGAGCAAACAGG